Molecule: transfer RNA, 74 nt
Filed under: Loxodonta africana (African savanna elephant)
Lineage: Eukaryota; Metazoa; Chordata; Mammalia; Proboscidea; Elephantidae
Rfam family: tRNA
About the family: Transfer RNA (tRNA) molecules are approximately 80 nucleotides in length. Their secondary structure includes four short double-helical elements and three loops (D, anti-codon, and T loops).
Source: Rfam by way of RNAcentral
CCCUCGGUGGUAUAAAUGGUUAACAUGCUCAGCUGCAAACUGAAAGGUUGGAGGUUCAAAUCCACCCAGAGGCA